GGUCUUAUAUUCAUUGGAUGAUAUUGGAAUGCAAUUCUUAAGGUGUAAUUUAAAAGGUACUAAGACUU
This 68-nucleotide transfer RNA is filed under the name Idolomantis diabolica. RNAcentral's name for it is "tRNA-Cys". Lineage: Eukaryota; Metazoa; Arthropoda; Insecta; Mantodea; Empusidae. The record is from RNAcentral.